Molecule: ribosomal RNA, 424 nt
Filed under: Verrucomicrobiota bacterium
Lineage: Bacteria; Pseudomonadati; Verrucomicrobiota
Description: Verrucomicrobia bacterium partial 16S ribosomal RNA
Rfam family: Bacterial small subunit ribosomal RNA
Source: RNAcentral
UGAGGAAUAUUGGUCAAUGGACGCAAGUCUGAACCAGCCAAGUAGCGUGCAGGAUGACGGCCCUAUGGGUUGUAAACUGCUUUUAUAUGGGGAAAAAGUGGGGAACGUGUUCCCUUUUGCAGGUACCAUAUGAAUAAGGUCCGGCCAAUUCCGUGCCAGCAGCCGCGGUAAUACGGAAGGUUCGGGCGUUAUCCGGAUUUAUUGGGUUUAAAGGGAGCGUAGGCUGUUUGGUUAGCGUGUUGUGAAAUGUAGGAGCUCAACUUCUAGAUUGCAGCGCGAACUGUCAGACUUGAGUGCUCACAACGUCGGCGGAAUUCAUGGUGUAGCUGUGAAAUGCUUAGAUAUCAUGAAGAACACCGAUUGCGAAGGCAGCCUACUGGUGCGCAUCUGACGCUGAAGCUCGAACGUGCGGGUAUCGAACAGG